This 45-nucleotide non-coding RNA is filed under the name Schistosoma margrebowiei. The record is from RNAcentral. Lineage: Eukaryota; Metazoa; Platyhelminthes; Trematoda; Strigeidida; Schistosomatidae.
AUCCAGUUGACGAGUCUCUAAUGGGACGAAACGCUCUUCCUGGAU